AGAACGAACGCUGGCGGCAUGCCUAACACAUGCAAGUCGAACGAGACCUUCGGGUCUAGUGGCGCACGGGUGCGUAACGCGUGGGAAUCUGCCCUUGGGUUCGGAAUAACAGCGAGAAAUUGCUGCUAAUACCGGAUGAUGACGUAAGUCCAAAGAUUUAUCGCCCAAGGAUGAGCCCGCGUAGGAUUAGCUUGUUGGUGAGGUAAGAGCUCACCAAGGCGACGAUCCUUAGCUGGUCUGAGAGGAUGAUCAGCCACACUGGGACUGAGACACGGCCCAGACUCCGUACGGGAGGCAGCGAGGUGGGGAAUAUUGGACAAGUGGGACGAAAGG
RNAcentral lists this ribosomal RNA (333 nucleotides) under uncultured soil bacterium. RNAcentral's name for it is "bacterial SSU rRNA". It matches the Rfam family "Bacterial small subunit ribosomal RNA", at positions 26 to 382 of the family's 1533-position model. The record is from RNAcentral.